AAAGAAAGAGGAUAUAGGCAGCAGGAUAUAUCAAAAGCAUAUUCAAGAGCAAAGAAUACCCCCAGGAACAAUCUGUUGAUGCAACCCAAGCAGAAAAACCCGGAUAACCAGGGAGCUACGGAGAAGAGUAAGGGAACAUGUUCUGAGCAUCGAAGCAGCCAAGAAUGAACAGGAUGCCACUAAACUCAAGACAUUGGCUAGGCACUUUAAAGAGCAUCAUGCAUGCAAUGGACAUUUAUUGAAGGUACCUGGCAUAUCUGCGGAUUUUGAGUUCAGCGCGGGACUGUAUGCACCGACUCAACACCACAUUGUGAUUUUGUAUUAUUACAAAUAUUUUUGUAACACACUUCAUCAUUCACCUAUUCAUUUUACACAUAACUAAUGUAUAAGUACACUGAAUAUGGAUACACCUACAUGCACAUAUUUGUAUAUGCA
This is a long non-coding RNA of Hyla sarda, 435 nucleotides long. RefSeq lists it as uncharacterized. The record is from RefSeq and is a predicted model, not a curated record. The transcript has 3 exons. NCBI's taxonomy places the organism in Eukaryota, Metazoa, Chordata, Amphibia, Anura, Hylidae.